GCCUAGUUAGCUUGAUUGGUAGUGUGUCUACCUUUUAAGUGCUAGGUCGUGGGUUUGAUUCCCACCCAGGGCA
Molecule: transfer RNA, 73 nt
Filed under: Diaphorina citri (Asian citrus psyllid)
Lineage: Eukaryota; Metazoa; Arthropoda; Insecta; Hemiptera; Psyllidae
Rfam family: tRNA
About the family: Transfer RNA (tRNA) molecules are approximately 80 nucleotides in length. Their secondary structure includes four short double-helical elements and three loops (D, anti-codon, and T loops).
Source: Rfam by way of RNAcentral